GGUAUAUAGCUCCAUUGGUAGAGUACUUGCCUUGCAUGCACAAGGCCCUGGGUUCAAUCCCCAUCACCA
Molecule: transfer RNA, 69 nt
Filed under: Marmota monax (woodchuck)
Lineage: Eukaryota; Metazoa; Chordata; Mammalia; Rodentia; Sciuridae
Description: tRNA.Ala
Source: RNAcentral